UGGGCGCCCUCUACCUGACCCCUAGCACCUCAGGACACUUGUUGAUCAUCCAUGAGCAAUGAUGUGUUGUGAUGAUCUUGUGCACCAAACUUUGCUAUAAAAGGCCAUACUUGGUUCACAAAUGAAACACACCUCAAAACACAUCUUCUGAUCAUUCUUGGAGCUCACAAGCUUUCUUCUAACAUUCCUAAGUCGUGCACAAGUCUCUGUAAGUAUGCCAAACCUUCUAUGGCUUUGUUUUUGCUUAGUUUAGCCUAAAAGUCAAUCCGUCGUAACUAACGAUU
RNAcentral lists this long non-coding RNA (284 nucleotides) under Helianthus annuus (common sunflower). RNAcentral's name for it is "hypothetical non coding rna". Lineage: Eukaryota; Viridiplantae; Streptophyta; Magnoliopsida; Asterales; Asteraceae. The record is from RNAcentral.